CCCCUCGCUGUGCAGAGGGGACUGAGACCGAGAGGUGACCGAGACCGAGAGAGGACUGAGACCGAGAGGGAACCGCGAGGGCGGGAGGGAAGCUCCGCGAGCCGGCACCAGCGCCACGGCCCAAAUCCCAGCCUCUACAGGUGCUCACCGCGCGACUGCCUGUCCCAGGCGCCCUGGCUGCGCGCCCUCUCUAGGGCCUGGGAGCAGCCUGAGUCCUGGGGGCGGCCCGGCAUGGGCCUCCCACCCCAGGAGACGCCCUUCUCGCCUGGCCCUCCAAGUCGCCUGGGCGGGACUCGGAUGCCCGGGGGCCACAAACCUCUCCCCCGUGAAUUCAGCAGGGAGGCCGGGGAGGCACGCUGCUCCCCCGCUCAGCCUUGCCCAGUAUCCAGACCUUUCGAAAGAAGCCAGAAAAUUCAUAUUUGCUUGGGAACCGCCCACAAUUCAAUAGCUUUUCAAAACAGUGCGGGAAGAAAAAUGGGUUUGGCCCACCAGCAGCCAGCGGGCACCCUCCCAGCCUCUUCAUGGACUCUCCUUCAGAUUUUGGGCGCCCGGCCCCAUUAGAGCCAUCUGUGGGCAUUUCCUUCAGAUCUUCCUCCACUUAAACAUGCUUAUUGAAAAAGAAGACUCCUUUUCUCUUUCCCUAUCGUAAUUAGAAACCCAGCGUCCUGUGGCGUAAAAGCCAGGUAGCCUCGGAAGUGAAAUAGGGCGAUUAGAACAGACACAGGGCCUGUUCCGCCCGACCCUGCUGCAUCUGGUGGACAAGCCUCCAGGGCUACUGAUGACCCAUGCCCUCCGACCUCACGGGAGGGGCGGGCCGAAGACAGGCCUUUCUAGAAGGGCCCUGGAAGCGGCUUCAGGGAGUCUGGGAACCAAAGCAGCUACCCUGUCCGUGGCACUGUCCAGCCCUGGGCACCACGGCCCCGCCGGGAGUGGAAGCUGCCAGCCUUCGGAGAGGCCCCCACUCCAGGAUCAAGACCCAGCCCAGUCACGGCCUGGCUCACGAGGCCCCACCUCAACUGCCCCUGACCUCUCUGCGCCCGCUGCUCCCGCCAGCCCUGCCGGCCGCUGCCCUGGAGAAGGAGCUCCAGACGGAUCCCCAGUGAGUAGGAGGCAGCCGUGUGAGUCAGGCGGCUGAGGGAACGGGCUGCACCGCGGAGAGGAGGUGCGAAGCAGCGCGCCGUUUCCGGGCUCUGGGAAGCCGAGCUGCCGAGGCGUAAGCUGGGAGGUGGACGUGACGGGGGGAGUGGGGAAAGGCAGGCGGCGGGACGGCCACACAGCGGAAUAUUAUGCAACCUAUAAAAAAUUUAAUUAACUCCCUACCAAUAGACUUAAAGGGAUUUCUAUAAGGUAUUGUUGGGUGAGAAAAGCAAUUUGAAGAUAAGAAUGUAACAUACGAUCCCAUUUUUAUAAAACAAUGGGCAAAAUACUCUGUGAGUUUGUGUGUAUAUAUGUAUAUGUAUAUAGACCUGUAUAGGAUGUUAUUAACACAAAGGAAAAUUCAGGAUACAUGCUAGGUUGUUAAUAGGGGUUUUCUUCACGGAAACCUAUUGUGGGAGAAAGGGAACCAAGAAAAAAAGGAUCUGAGAAAUAAAGACUGCCCUUAAAAGAUGAA
Macaca mulatta (Rhesus monkey) is the source of this 1612-nucleotide non-coding RNA. Lineage: Eukaryota; Metazoa; Chordata; Mammalia; Primates; Cercopithecidae. The record is from RefSeq and is a predicted model, not a curated record.